RNAcentral lists this long non-coding RNA (1214 nucleotides) under Canis lupus familiaris (dog). RNAcentral's name for it is "lncRNA (ENSCAFG00030000069.1)". Lineage: Eukaryota; Metazoa; Chordata; Mammalia; Carnivora; Canidae. The record is from RNAcentral.
AGCCGCCCUCGUCCCGCCCCGCCCAGGCCCCGCCCCCCGGAGCCCCGCCCACGCCCCGCCCUCGACCCGCCCCCCGAGCCCCCGCCCUCGACCCGCCCCCCGAGCCCCCGCGCGCAGACCCCGCCUCCGACGCCCUGACCCGCGGGGCCCCUCGGGGGCGGGGCCGGCCUCCUGCGCAGGCGCGGCCGCGGGGUCGCCCGUCAGUGACGUCACAGGCGGCGCGUCAGACCCCGCGCCCCGAGCCCGGCUGCCGGCUGGAACCUGCGGGUGCGGCGUCCGAGGGGCGCGGCGACGGGGACGGGGACGGGGACGGGGAGGCCCGCGGAGCCCCCGGCGGUCGGAGGGACGCGGAGGCCGAGACGCGGGGCCGCCCCGGCCCGGCCCGGGAGGACCCGAGGAUGAAGGAUCCUGCCGCAGGUUUAUUUGUACAAACAGCACAGGAGGACACCAGGCCCGUGUACACGGAAGCCCAGCACUGGAGCCUCGGUGGGGGCCUGGGCACCUUUGGGAGCCUGCACUGCUGAGGAGCAGCUCCUCCUGACGCCAGUGGGGCUCCGCAUGUGGGCUGCGAAGGCAGUUCCAAGUGACCCGGGAAGGGCUGUGACCUGAGAGGCGACACAGCCGCGGAAAUGCAGGGGGUUGCACGUCAGGACAGACGGACCUUUGCAACGAUGAGCUUUGAGGAGCUCCCUGAGGUCAGGAAGUUGUUGGCCACAGGGGUGGGAAGCAAGCAGGCAAGCGGCGCACGGGCCGCGUGGGCUCUGCCCAGGUGGGGCGCGUGGGGAGCACAGCGCUGACUGGGCCACCUGACGGGCCCCGGGAGUAAAGCCCAAGAGGCCGGGAACUGCUGCUUCUUCCCCCGGCUUCAGCUGGACCCCAGGCGGGAAGGGCCCCUCCCUUCCAUGACGCCCGAGUCCUCAAGCAUCCCUGAGGGACCUCGACUCAGCGGGGGGCAGACCCUGUUGCUCAGUAAUGUCUGCUGACAUCUUUCCCCCCAAGGGUCCUCCAGCACCAGGCUCUAAGGCGACGGUACCCUCCCGGUCCUGGGAGAGAACCCGGAGCCCUUACCACAAGUCUGCAGGUCUGCAGGUGUGGCCACGGGCAGGCUCCAGGGUUUCUGUGCAGUCCUAGGAGCGGUCAGAGCAUCCCGCGCUCUGGCCCCCGCAGUUCCUGAGGUCCCGGGGUCCCCACCGUGCAUGGGACUCCCUGCCCGC